AUAAACUGAGUUGAUGGUUGGGUAUCCGCAACAGCCUGAAACCAAUUACUGCGGGCCCAAAACGUUAAGAGACAAAUAUCAAUAACACAAAUAACAAUUAAACCAUAGAGACUAAAAACAACAGUUCAUCGAGUUUGUUAAAGUCCUUGCUCUAUUGCAUUUCGGGCAAAUCGUUUUAAAAGUUCGUACAUCAUCACAAUCGUAUGUGUUCGUUAAUGCAGUAUGGUAGUACUCUCGCAUUACAGACUUGAAUGCGUUGAAGUUUUCCAUACUCAAGUCAAGUAUGACCGUCAAUGUGUUCCAUGUUCUGAUGGUUCUUAUCCAGUAUGAUCUUUGGUAGGUUGUUGUUUUGCACCGCGGGACUUCGUACUUUACACCUUUCGUGUUAGUGGACGAUCUUGUAUAUCUUGUUGUCUUGGCGUGCAAGGCAAAGGACGAGCUGGUAAUGCCAUGAGUUACUUUGAAGAAAUGAAUCAUAUCAAGGUAUUCAUGCCAGUAACAUAUGGGCAGUAGAUGGAGAGUUUGCAAUCUGGAUUUGUAAUUUACUGAACUAAUAAAUGGAAGAUUAAGAAUGUAUUUUGUUGCACGUCUUUGAGGGUUUUCUAGUUUGAGCAGAAGUUCGGUAGAUUGGGGUGUCCAGACUUGCGUCGCGUAACCAAGAUGUGAUCGUACCAGUGACAGGUAAAUGGUUCUUCUUGUUUUAAUGCUGUUAAUUGUUCGUGUGUUCCGU
This is a non-coding RNA of Paramuricea clavata, 730 nucleotides long. The record is from the annotation of a GenBank genome assembly. Lineage: Eukaryota; Metazoa; Cnidaria; Anthozoa; Malacalcyonacea; Plexauridae.